RNAcentral lists this ribosomal RNA (436 nucleotides) under uncultured bacterium. Its description in RNAcentral is "bacterial SSU rRNA". It matches the Rfam family "Bacterial small subunit ribosomal RNA", at positions 29 to 507 of the family's 1533-position model. The record is from RNAcentral.
AACGAACGCUGGCGGCAUGCCUAAAAACACAUGCAAGUCGAACGAAGCCUUCGGGCUUAGUGGCGCACGGGUGCGUAACACGUGGGAAUCUGCCCUUCGGUUCGGAAUAACAGUUAGAAAUGACUGCUAAUACCGGAUGAUGACGUAAGUCCAAAGAUUUAUCGCCGAGGGAUGAGCCCGCGUAGGAUUAGGUAGUUGGUAGGGUAAUGGCCUACCAAGCCGACGAUCCUUAGCUGGUCUGAGAGGAUGAUCAGCCACACUGGGACUGAGACACGGCCCAGACUCCUACGGGAGGCAGCAGUGGGGAAUAUUGGACAAUGGGCGAAAGCCUGAUCCAGCAAUGCCGCGUGAGUGAUGAAGGCCUUAGGGUUGUAAAGCUCUUUUACCAGGGAUGAUAAUGACAGUACCUGGAGAAUAAGCUCCGGCUAACUCCGUG